Molecule: ribosomal RNA, 492 nt
Filed under: uncultured bacterium
Lineage: Bacteria
Description: partial 16S ribosomal RNA
Rfam family: Bacterial small subunit ribosomal RNA
Source: RNAcentral
AGUGAACGCUGGCGGUAGGCCUAACACAUGCAAGUCGAACGGCAGCACAGUAAGAGCUUGCUCUUACGGGUGGCGAGUGGCGGACGGGUGAGGAAUACAUCGAAAUCUACUUUUUCGUGGGGGAUAACGUAGGGAAACUUACGCUAAUACCGCAUACGACCUACGGGUGAAAGCAGGGGAUCUUCGGACCUUGCGCGAUUGAAUGAGCCGAUGUCGGAUUAGCUAGUUGGCGGGGUAAAGGCCCACCAAGGCGACGAUCCGUAGCUGGUCUGAGAGGAUGAUUAGCCACACUAGAACUGAGACACGUUCCAGACUCCUACGGGAGGCAGCAGUGGGGAAUAUUGGACAAUGGGCUCAAGCCUGAUCCAGCCAUACCGCGUGGGUGAAGAAGGCCUUCGGGUUGUAAAGCCCUUUUGUUGGUAAAGAAAGGCAGCAGGUUAAUACCCCGCUGUUCUGACGUUACCAAAAGAGUAAGCACCGGCUAACUUCGUG